GCCUCUUGCUAUUGUAACAUCCUUUUAGCAGGCGACGUUCAGUGGAGUAUUAACGUUAGUAUAGUCAGCGAAAUCGUUUUUAAAUGCGGUUUUAGUUGUUAGUACUUACACUAAUUUAAUUACUAGUUAUAUUGUUUUUAACAUAUGUAUGUUGUAAAUGUAAAGCUUUUAGACGAAAAAGAAGGUGGUCAGCUUUCUGGUGCUAUGUGCGUUUUUUUUUUUUUUUAAGUUUGUAAAGUGUAAAUGAGAUUAAACGGAGGUGUUUUCUUGAUCAUGCCGGUGGACACAUUGGAUCGUAUUCUGUAAGUUGAUAAUUUUUAUUCAUAUUUAACAGCAAUACUGAAAGCUAAUGUGUGGUUUAAAUAAGUUUUGUUGGUCGCCGAAUUGGCAGGUGCAUCUGCUUUGCUAACUACAUCCAGAUGCCUCAUGUUGUAAGCCCGGCUGUGUUAUUACUGUAGGGUUUUAGCCUGAACCCAGUCCGCCGCUGCUCAGACCAGACGUGAUGAUUUUGCAGUCCGUGUUUCACCUGAAUCAAAUGAUUACAAACCUACUGCACUGACUGGUUAAAGUUGCGGAGUAAAGCGACGACAUGUUUUGGUUUCCCCCGGAAUUCAUUCUGAUAUUUAUUUCUGUUUAUUUACAGAGACCCGCGUUUAUGGAAGUGAGGUGAGUUCAAAUCUUUUGUGCCUCUUGCAAACUAGUGACUUCCGUUGAGGUGAUGAGUUGCAUGUCGUCCGUGUUUCUAAAAGAGUGAUUAGUAACAUGCUCUGACUAAAGUGUUAAUAUUUUGGUUUCCCACAGAAUAUUUUGUAAUGUGCAUUGUUUACUUUUUUACAGGGACCGGUUUUUACAGAAAAUGAGGCGAGUACAAAUCUCAUGUCUCAUAGACUAUUGUUUUCUCUUGAGGUGAUGAGUUGCAUGUAGUCCGUGUUUCUGAUGAAGUGAUUAUUAACAUGCUCUGAUAAAAGUGUUAAGAGGUGAAAACGAACCACAGUUUAGUGUAAACCCAUUUAACAUCUUCACUAAUGUUCUGCAGGAACUUCAACUUUUGAAAGCAGGGGAAGUGUUGAAUAAGGUAUUUACUUCAUGUGACCGAACUUUUGCUAUGGAUUUAAAAUGAGGUCUCCUGACCUUUAUUUCCCCAGAGAUAAAAACCCAAUUGUUACAGAAGAUUAGAUUGUAUAACUGUAGUUUGUAAUCUGGAGUGUGCUGUAUGUCCAUGUUUUCUUGCUACAUAUUGCCAAGAUGCCAGCAAUGCGUGACCCUGGUCCACAAAACCAGUCUUAAAGAAAUCCACUUCCAAAACAAAGAUUCACAUAUAAUGUACUCGCCCCCCCCUUGUCGUCCAAGAUUUUCAUGCCUGACUUCAGUCGUAAAGAAACUUCUUGAAGUGGACUAUUACUUUCUAGUAGCAUGUGUAUAUUUCUGGCAAUAUUCAAAAACUCAUUGUAUGGGUUAAAAUGAUCAAUUUUUCUUUUAUGCCAAAUAUCGUUAGAAUAUUAAGUAAAGAUCAUUCUCCAUGAAGAUAAUUUGUGAAUUUUCUACCUUAAUAUAUUAUUUUUUGAUCGAUUAAUAUAUGUUGCUUAGAAUUUAUUUUAUUUUUGCACCCUCCGAUUUCAGAUUUUCAAGUAGUUGCGUCUCUGCCAAAUAUUGUCCUGUCCUAAUGAACCGUACAUCAGUGGAAGGCUUCUUCAGCUUUCAGAAUUUUUUUUUUUUUUUUUUUUUUUUUUUUUUUUUUUUUUUUUUUUUUUUAA
Labeo rohita (rohu) is the source of this 1754-nucleotide long non-coding RNA. RefSeq lists it as uncharacterized. The transcript is spliced from 2 exons. NCBI's taxonomy places the organism in Eukaryota, Metazoa, Chordata, Actinopteri, Cypriniformes, Cyprinidae. The record is from RefSeq and is a predicted model, not a curated record.